Molecule: ribosomal RNA, 318 nt
Filed under: Triticum aestivum (bread wheat)
Lineage: Eukaryota; Viridiplantae; Streptophyta; Magnoliopsida; Poales; Poaceae
Description: partial small subunit ribosomal RNA
Source: RNAcentral
AUGUUGUGCUACCGCUGUGGUGAGCGGGGGCACUUUAUUGCUGAAUGUGUGACCGAGUUAUGUGAUACUUGCCUCAAGACAGCACAUGACACGGAGGAGGCCCAGAGCACAACUACAGAGGUGGUCAAGGUCACGAAGGGUGACGUGUCUGAGGCUCAGAUUUUGCAGCGCCUUAGGGAGUUGGCCCCAGGUGAUUUUCAGUGGGAGCUGAUUCGACUUGAGGACAACAACUAUAAGGUUGACUUCCCGACUAGAGGAUUUGGAGCGUCUCCUCAGCUUUGGGCUUUGCAAAGUUCCUGGCACAGAGUGCAUUCUUGA